CUGAGUUGCUUAUCCUUACCUUUGCCAAGCCAGCCUGGUUGGUGGGCCUCCCUUCUGCUAUCAUGUCACCAUUGCACGGACCAGGACUGGACGGAAAGAUGCUGAUGAGCAUCCUGAAUAUGUCAUUAACGAGGAAGGCCUGUGCAAAGGGAUGCAUCUUGCCAAGUCCCCUCAAAGUGGCUCAUCACUUUGCUACUCGGUCGGACCACUAAUUUUGCCUCAUAAUGAGCCAUAACAGUGAAAUACAUCCAAAAGAAUGAAUAACCAGCUGCUGACUGAACAUUUAAAGUGACAUACAAUUAUUUUCUUCUGAGAAACUACUAGCAGUUCACAUAAUGGAUUUUCAAAGCCUUAUGUGGCCUAAGGUCACACUGAAUAGCUGACCAAUUCUGAACCUUCAUGCCUGGUGAACUUGCUGCUACUUUGUUUGAAAGUCAAAUCCAACAUGUCCUAAACAACCAACCUAAUUUAGUACCAAGUCUUCUAAGCUGAGACCUUGGAAGUGGACGCAGCCUGAAAUCCAAAUCCCAGAAGCGGAUGUGAAACAAUGGCACCAUUCAAUUUUUCUUAGUUUCACUGAGAGACCUAAGAGUGGCACUGUGACUUGGGUAGCUAACCCAAACACAGGGUUGCCAAGCUGCUCAUCCAGCAGUAGCUACCUUUUGUUCUUCUUGUUUGACCCUGAAAGCGACAUCAUGCUGCUGCAUUUUUCACAUCACAAUCAUUUCCCAGAUGUGAAGAUUAUUAAUUCCAUGCAGGAUUUCAGGUGAGGCGGGCUGUGAAAAUGCUCCAUUGCCAGAGGGUGGACAGAUACUAGAGCAGACAACCAACCAGCAGAGUCCCCUAUCUAAUCUGGAGGCCCAGUCGCAUGCACAAAUGCAAGGUAAAAAAUUAUACACAUGACAGGGAAUGCAGAAGACCCUAAUCCUGCAUUAAUAAGAGCACUAUGGUGUGUUUCCCCUGCCUUGUAGUAAGAUCCUAAGAUGGGAGUGUAUAAUAUAACUCAGUAUAUCACUUGCACUUAAGAGACUUGCAUUUAAGCCCAUAGCUCCUCCACACCCUGCAUGUUAUAUAUUCUGCAUUCUUGAGACUAAGGGAGUGGGCUUGGGAUUUAAUUCCAGUGAAUAUGAAGGACUAUGCACAUCAGAUCACCCUACCUGUGCUCAUGCAUAGCCUCCACUUACACUUGUGCUGCAGCCCAACAACUCUGCACAACCUGUAAGGACUUGGAGGACAGAGGCCGUUGUGUUACCACAGCUGACUCAAACCUGGACUCUGGUGUGGGUCUGUAUGGAGCAGCUAUAUGAAAUAAUCCAGAAUAAUUCAUUUUACCCUUGCCUGUGCUGGUAGAAGCUGGAACGAGAUAGUAUCCUCUGGAAGGUCACCCCACACUGGCCUUGCAUUCAGCUGGGAGUCACAUAUCUCUAGCUGAACAGGAAGGAGCUGUGUUAAACUGGUCUUUAUUGGAGAUCACCUUCCUGGUUGAGCUAUUAGGUGGUGUGCUGAACUCUAUCAGCUUGCUGGUAAGAAUUCUAUAUAGCUUGUCUCAGCUGGGAGUCGCCCUCUGCAGAUCUUAUACAGUAAUGGAGAAACUCCUUAUUAAAAAGUAAUUAUUUUCAGUAAUACCAAAGGAAAAACCUCUGGCCUGGUAAAAUUUCUAGAGUGGUUUUUCAACCCUGAGAUAGGGCUAAAAUCUAUAACUCUAAACUUGCAGAUUCAUCUGCUAUUGCCUUGUAAAAGUCCCAAGGAAUAGUGAAGAACAGUAACACGUAGCUUUCAUAUAGCCUUUUUUCAACAGUAGAUCACAAAGUGUUUUAUGAAGUAAGGUCAUUAUCAUUAUCCCCAUUUUACAAAUGGGGAAACUGAGGCUCAGGGAGGGAAAAUGAC
Chelonoidis abingdonii (Abingdon island giant tortoise) is the source of this 1887-nucleotide long non-coding RNA. RefSeq lists it as uncharacterized. The record is from RefSeq and is a predicted model, not a curated record. Lineage: Eukaryota; Metazoa; Chordata; Testudines; Testudinidae.